RNAcentral lists this ribosomal RNA (476 nucleotides) under uncultured bacterium. RNAcentral describes it as "bacterial SSU rRNA". It matches the Rfam family "Bacterial small subunit ribosomal RNA", at positions 28 to 504 of the family's 1533-position model. The record is from RNAcentral.
GAUGAACGCUGGCGGCGUGCUUAACACAUGCAAGUCGAACGAAGCACUUAUCUUUGAUUCUUCGGAUGAAGAGGUUUGUGACUGAGUGGCGGACGGGUGAGUAACGCGUGGGUAACCUGCCUCAUACAGGGGGAUAACAGUUAGAAAUGACUGCUAAUACCGCAUAAGACCACGGAGCCGCAUGGCUCCGUGGGAAAAACUCCGGUGGUAUGAGAUGGACCCGCGUCUGAUUAGGUAGUUGGUGGGGUAACGGCCUACCAAGCCAACGAUCAGUAGCCGACCUGAGAGGGUGACCGGCCACAUCGGGACUGAGACACGGCCCAAACUCCUACGGGAGGCAGCAGUGGGGAAUAUUGCACAAUGGGGGAAACCCUGAUGCAGCGACGCCGCGUGAGCGAAGAAGUAUUUCGGUAUGUAAAGCUCUAUCAGCAGGGAAGAAAAUGACGGUACCUGACUAAGAAGCACCGGCUAAAUAC